This 542-nucleotide ribosomal RNA is filed under the name uncultured bacterium. RNAcentral describes it as "bacterial SSU rRNA". It matches the Rfam family "Bacterial small subunit ribosomal RNA", at positions 345 to 879 of the family's 1533-position model. The record is from RNAcentral.
GAGGCAGCAGUAGGGAAUCUUGCGCAAUGGGCGAAAGCCUGACGCAGCGACGCCGCGUGCGGGAAGAAGGCCUUCGGGUUGUAAACCGCUUUCAGGAGGGACGAAGCCACUCGGGUUAAUAGCCCAGAGGGUGACGGUACCUCCAGAAGAAGCCCCGGCUAACUACGUGCCAGCAGCCGCGGUAAUACGUAGGGGGCAAGCGUUGUCCGGAUUUAUUGGGCGUAAAGAGCGUGUAGGCGGCCAGAUAGGUCAGCUGUGAAAACUCGAGGCUCAACCUCGAGAUGUCGGCUGAAACCAUCUGGCUAGAGUCCGGAAGAGGAGAAUGGAAUUCCCGGUGUAGCGGUGAAAUGCGCAGAUAUCGGGAAGAACACCCGUGGCGAAGGCGGUUCUCUGGGACGGUACUGACGCUGAGACGCGAAAGCGUGGGGAGCGAACAGGAUUAGAUACCCUGGUAGUCCACGCCGUAAACGAUGGGAACUAGGUGUGGGCGGUGUCGACUCCGUCCGUGCCGAAGCUAACGCAUUAAGUUCCCCGCCUGGGGA